Molecule: ribosomal RNA, 497 nt
Filed under: uncultured bacterium
Lineage: Bacteria
Description: partial 16S ribosomal RNA
Rfam family: Bacterial small subunit ribosomal RNA
Source: RNAcentral
GAUGAACGCUGGCGGCGUGCCUAAUACAUGCAAGUCGAGCGAACGGACGAGAAGCUUGCUUCUCUGAUGUUAGCGGCGGACGGGUGAGUAACACGUGGAUAACCUACCUAUAAGACUGGGAUAACUUCGGGAAACCGGAGCUAAUACCGGAUAAUAUUUUGAACCGCAUGGUUCAAAAGUGAAAGACGGUCUUGCUGUCACUUAUAGAUGGAUCCGCGCUGCAUUAGCUAGUUGGUAAGGUAACGGCUUACCAAGGCAACGAUGCAUAGCCGACCUGAGAGGGUGAUCGGCCACACGGGAACUGAGACACGGUCCAGACUCCUACGGGAGGCAGCAGUAGGGAAUCUUCCGCAAUGGGCGAAAGCCUGACGGAGCAACGCCGCGUGAGUGAUGAAGGUCUUCGGAUCGUAAAACUCUGUUAUUAGGGAAGAACAGAUGUGUAAGUAACUGUGCACAUCUUGACGGUACCUAAUCAGAAAGCCACGGCUAACUACGUG